Molecule: small RNA, 27 nt
Filed under: Bombyx mori (domestic silkworm)
Lineage: Eukaryota; Metazoa; Arthropoda; Insecta; Lepidoptera; Bombycidae
Description: ovarian small RNA-35649
Source: RNAcentral
UGUCAUGACGUGGUGGAGUGUCACGAC